Molecule: ribosomal RNA, 957 nt
Filed under: Erysiphe quercicola
Lineage: Eukaryota; Fungi; Ascomycota; Leotiomycetes; Helotiales; Erysiphaceae
Description: partial 28S ribosomal RNA
Rfam family: Eukaryotic large subunit ribosomal RNA
Source: RNAcentral
UUGACCUCGAAUCAGGUAGGAAUACCCGCUGAACUUAAGCAUAUCAAUAANNNNNNNNNNNNNNNNNNNNNNNNNNNNNNNNNNNNNNNNCGAGUGAAGCGGUAACAGCUCAAAUUUGAAAUCUGGCUCUUGCGGAGUCCGAGUUGUAAUUUGUAGAAGAUGCUUUGGGUUGUGGGUUCGGCCUAAGUUCCUUGGAACAGGACGUCAUAGAGGGUGAGAAUCCCGUAUGUGGCCGAGGCCCGCGCCUAUGUAAAGCUCUUUCAACGAGUCGAGUUGUUUGGGAAUGCAGCUCAAAAUGGGUGGUAAAUUUCAUCUAAAGCUAAAUAUGGGCCAGAGACCGAUAGCGCACAAGUAGAGUGAUCGAAAGAUGAAAAGCACUUUGGAAAGAGAGUUAAACAGUACGUGAAAUUGUUGAAAGGGAAGCGCUUGCAACCAGACUUGGGCGCUGCCGAUCACCUUGAGUUUUCUCGAGUGCACUCGACAGCGCACAGGCCAGCAUCGGUUCGGGUGGCUGGAUAAAGGCCGUAGGAAUGUGGCUCUCUUCGGGGAGUGUUAUAGCCUACGGUGCCAUGCAGCCCAGCCGGACCGAGGACCGCGCCUUCGGGCUAGGAUGCUGGCGUAAUGGUUGUAAGCGACCCGUCUUGAAACACGGACCAAGGAGUCUAACAUCUAUGCGAGUGUUUGGGUGGUAAACCCAUACGCGGAAUGAAAGUGAACGUAGGUGAGAACCCCUUUGGGGCGCAUCAUCGACCGAUCCUGAUGUCUUCGGAUGGAUUUGAGUAAGAGCAUAGCUGUUGGGACCCGAAAGAUGGUGAACUAUGCCUGAAUAGGGUGAAGCCAGAGGAAACUCUGGUGGAGGCUCGCAGCGGUUCUGACGUGCAAAUCGAUCGUCAAAUUUGGGCAUAGGGGCGAAAGACUAAUCGAACCAUCUAGUAGCUGGUUCCUGCCGAAGUUUCC